Molecule: ribosomal RNA, 492 nt
Filed under: uncultured bacterium
Lineage: Bacteria
Description: partial 16S ribosomal RNA
Rfam family: Bacterial small subunit ribosomal RNA
Source: RNAcentral
AGUGAACGCUGGCGGUAGGCCUAACACAUGCAAGUCGAACGGCAGCACAGUAAAAGCUUGCUCUUACGGGUGGCGAGUGGCGGACGGGUGAGGAAUACAUCGGAAUCUACUUUUUCGUGGGGGAUAACGUAGGGAAACUUACGCUAAUACCGCAUACGACCUACGGGUGAAAGCAGGGGAUCUUCGGACCUUGCGCGAGUGAAUGAGCCGAUGUCGGAUUAGCUAGUUGGCGGGGUAAAGGCCCACCAAGGCGACGAUCCGUAGCUGGUCUGAGAGGAUGAUCAGCCACACUGGAACUGAGACACGGUCCAGACUCCUACGGGAGGCAGCAGUGGGGAAUAUUGGACAAUGGGCGCAAGCCUGAUCCAGCCAUACCGCGUGGGUGAAGAAGGCCUUCGGGUUGUAAAGCCCUUUUGUUGGGAAAGAAAAGCAGCAGGUUAAUACCCCGCUGUUCUGACGGUACCCAAAGAAUAAGCACCGGCUAACUUCGUG